GGGACUGCCAGGUUUCUACAUGUUAAUACUUGUUCUGAAGUACAGAAAACUUAAUAUGCUAAAGUUUUAAGGCUUUCAGCAAAUUCAAACAAUAAAUGCAAAAAACCAAAUUAUUCCUUUUUCUCGGAGUGUAGUUGCAGUUUAGUAACUUUUGAUUAUCCGCUUGAUCAGCUAAAUAGCAGGCAUGCUAUAACUGAUUAUUCUAUGUUGCUCUUAAGUUAUCUAUUAUGUAUUGAUUUAUAUAACUCAAGUAAAGAUAAUUGCUAGUACAUAAAUUUUGUUCUGUUAACUAAUAAUAACAAUACGUUAUUAAAUAGCUUUUGGAAUAUUGUUAUUAACAUGGACGUGGGUUCAAAUCCCACCAGUUCCA
RNAcentral lists this non-coding RNA (370 nucleotides) under Dermonema virens. The record is from RNAcentral. Lineage: Eukaryota; Rhodophyta; Florideophyceae; Nemaliales; Liagoraceae.